This 468-nucleotide ribosomal RNA is filed under the name uncultured bacterium. RNAcentral describes it as "partial 16S ribosomal RNA". It matches the Rfam family "Bacterial small subunit ribosomal RNA", at positions 28 to 507 of the family's 1533-position model. The record is from RNAcentral.
GACGAACGCUGGCGGCGUGCUUAACACAUGCAAGUCGAACGGAAAGGCCCUGCUUUUGUGGGGUGCUCGAGUGGCGAACGGGUGAGUAACACGUGAGUAACCUGCCCUUGACUUUGGGAUAACUUCAGGAAACUGGGGCUAAUACCGGAUAGGAGAUCCUGCUGCAUGGUGGGGGUUGGAAAGUUUCGGCGGUUGGGGAUGGACUCGCGGCUUAUCAGCUUGUUGGUGGGGUAGUGGCUUACAAAGGCUUUGACGGGUAGCCGGCCUGAGAGGGUGACCGGGCACAUUGGUCCUGAGAUACGGCCCAGACUCCUACGGGAGGCAGCAGGGGGGAAUAUUACACAAUAGGCGGAAGUGUGAUGCAGCAACGCCGCGUUCGGGAUGACGGCCUUCUGGUGGUAAACCGCUUUCGCCUGUGACGAAGCGUGAGUGACGGUAAUGGGUAAAGAAGCACCGGCUAACUACGUG